GCGGUUAUACAAAUUAUAUAAUUUAUUAUUAAUUAAUUGUAUUAAAUUUUGUAUUAAAAAUUUAAAAAAUAAAUUUAUAAGGUGGAAUUUUAUAUUUAAGAUAAAAUUUAAUAAUAUAAUAAUGAUAGAAAAUUUUUAUAUGAGACUAGGAUUAGAUACCCUAUUAUUAAAAAUGUAAAAAAAUAUUAGAUUAGUAUUAGUUAUAAUCUUCAAAAUUAAAUAAUUUGGCGGUAUUUUAGUCUAUUCAGAGGAACCUGUUUUGUAAAUGAUAUUCCACGAUUUAAUUUACUUUAUUUAUUAAUUUAUAUAUCGUCGUAAUAAAAUAUUUUUAUAGAAUUUUAAUAUUUUAAAUUUUUCCUUAAAAAUUAUAUCAGAUCMAGGUGUAGUUUAUAUUAAAGUUAAAAUGGGUGACAAUAAAUAUAUUUAAAGAUAAAAAUUAUUAUAAUUUUUUGAAUGUGGAUUUGAAAGUUAUUUUGUUUAAUUAAUCAAAAUGAUUUUAGCUCUAAAAUAUGU
This 513-nucleotide ribosomal RNA is filed under the name Hermaeophaga mercurialis. Its description in RNAcentral is "partial 12S ribosomal RNA". The record is from RNAcentral. Lineage: Eukaryota; Metazoa; Arthropoda; Insecta; Coleoptera; Chrysomelidae.